RNAcentral lists this unclassified non-coding RNA (347 nucleotides) under soil metagenome. Its description in RNAcentral is "partial contains 5.8S ribosomal RNA, internal transcribed spacer 2, and large subunit ribosomal RNA". The stretch from base 1 to 120 matches the Rfam family "5.8S ribosomal RNA", at positions 35 to 154 of the family's 154-position model. The record is from RNAcentral.
GAUGAAGAACGCAGCGAAAUGCGAAAAGUAAUGUGAAUUGCAGAAUUCAGUGAACCAUCGAAUCUUUGAACGCACAUUGCGCCCGCUGGAACUCCGGCGGGCACGCCUGUCCGAGCGUCAUUUCAACCCUCAGGCCCCCCUUCGCGGGCGGGCCUGGUGUUGGGGCCCGGCCGCUACCCUGCGGCCGUCCCCUAAAUCCAGUGGCGGCCUCGCCGUGAUCCCUUGCGUAGUAAUGCACCUCGCACCGGAGAGCGCCGUGGCCACGCCGUAAAACCCCCAAUUUUCAAUGGUUGACCUCGGAUCAGGUGGGAAUACCCGCUGAACUUAAGCAUAUCAAUAAGCGGAGG